This 69-nucleotide transfer RNA is filed under the name marine eukaryotic metagenome. It matches the Rfam family "tRNA". From Rfam's summary of the family: Transfer RNA (tRNA) molecules are approximately 80 nucleotides in length. Their secondary structure includes four short double-helical elements and three loops (D, anti-codon, and T loops). The record is from RNAcentral.
CGGGUGUAGCUCAGUUGGUAGAGCAUCACCUUGCCAAGGUGACUGUCGUGAGUUCGAGUCUCAUCACCC